GGGCUCGUAGUCUAGCGGUUAUCAGGUGCGUUGACGCCUUCGGCGUCCAUUUGCCUAGACUGCAAAUGACGCUGCCUUGACGUGGCAGAGGUCGUCGGUUCGAAUCCGGCCGAGCCCA
This 118-nucleotide transfer RNA is filed under the name Candidatus Aenigmatarchaeota archaeon. RNAcentral describes it as "tRNA-Val". It matches the Rfam family "tRNA". Rfam says of the family: Transfer RNA (tRNA) molecules are approximately 80 nucleotides in length. Their secondary structure includes four short double-helical elements and three loops (D, anti-codon, and T loops). Lineage: Archaea; Nanobdellati; Candidatus Aenigmatarchaeota. The record is from RNAcentral.